Molecule: ribosomal RNA, 465 nt
Filed under: uncultured bacterium
Lineage: Bacteria
Description: bacterial SSU rRNA
Rfam family: Bacterial small subunit ribosomal RNA
Source: RNAcentral
CCUACGGGUUGCAGCAGUGGGGAAUAUUGCGCAAUGGGGGCAACCCUGACGCAGCCAUGCCGCGUGAAUGAAGAAGGCCUUCGGGUUGUAAAGUUCUUUCGGUAGCGAGGAAGGCAUUUAGUUUAAUAGACUAGGUGAUUGACGUUAACUACAGAAGAAGCACCGGCUAACUCCGUGCCAGCAGCCGCGGUAAUACGGAGGGUGCGAGCGUUAAUCGGAAUAACUGGGCGUAAAGGGCACGCAGGCGGUGACUUAAGUGAGGUGUGAAAGCCCCGGGCUUAACCUGGGAAUUGCAUUUCAUACUGGGUCGCUAGAGUACUUUAGGGAGGGGUAGAAUUCCACGUGUAGCGGUGAAAUGCGUAGAGAUGUGGAGGAAUACCGAAGGCGAAGGCAGCCCCUUGGGAAUGUACUGACGCUCAUGUGCGAAAGCGUGGGGAGCAAACAGGAUUAGAUACCCUAGUAGUC